This 73-nucleotide transfer RNA is filed under the name Candidatus Aenigmatarchaeota archaeon. RNAcentral describes it as "tRNA-Gly". It matches the Rfam family "tRNA". Rfam says of the family: Transfer RNA (tRNA) molecules are approximately 80 nucleotides in length. Their secondary structure includes four short double-helical elements and three loops (D, anti-codon, and T loops). The record is from RNAcentral. Lineage: Archaea; Nanobdellati; Candidatus Aenigmatarchaeota.
GCGCCGGUAGUAUAACCUGGUAGUACAUUAGCCUUCCAAGCUAACCGUCCGGGUUCAAAUCCCGGCCGGCGCA